RNAcentral lists this ribosomal RNA (372 nucleotides) under uncultured organism. RNAcentral's name for it is "bacterial SSU rRNA". It matches the Rfam family "Bacterial small subunit ribosomal RNA", at positions 526 to 896 of the family's 1533-position model. The record is from RNAcentral.
CGUAGGGUGCGAGCGUUGCCCGGAUUUAUUGGGCGUAAAGGGCGCGUAGGCGACUCGGCACGUCCGUUGUGAAAUCGCCCGGCUCAACUGGGCGGGGUCGGCGGAUACGGCCGAGCUGGAGCAAGCUAGGGGGUAAUGGAAUUCCCGGUGUAGUGGUGGAAUGCGUAGAUAUCGGGAGGAACACCAGUGGCGAAGGCGGUUACCUGGAGCUUUGCUGACGCUGAUGCGCGAAAGCGUGGGGAGCGAUCCGGAUUAGAUACCCGGGUAGUCCACGCCGUAAACGAUGCGGACUAGGUGUCGGGGGUAUCGACCCCCUCGGCGCCGCAGCUAACGCAUUAAGUCCGCCGCCUGGGGACUACGGCCGCAAGGCUA